AUUGCCCUCUCUCUUUCUUCCUAACACAUGCAAGUCGAACGGCAGCACAGUAAGAGCUUGCUCUUACGGGUGGCGAGUGGCGGACGGGUGAGGAAUACAUCGGAAUCUACUUUUUCGUGGGGGAUAACGUAGGGAAACUUACGCUAAUACCGCAUACGACCUACGGGUGAAAGCAGGGGAUCUUCGGACCUUGCGCGAUUGAAUGAGCCGAUGUCGGAUUAGCUAGUUGGCGGGGUAAAGGCCCACCAAGGCGACGAUCCGUAGCUGGUCUGAGAGGAUGAUCAGCCACACUGGAACUGAGACACGGUCCAGACUCCUACGGGCGGCAGCAGUGGGGAAUAUUGGACAAUGGGCGCAAGCCUGAUCCAGCCAUACCGCGUGGGUGAAGAAGGCCUUCGGGUUGUAAAGCCCUUUUGUUGGGAAAGAAAAGCAGCAGGUUAAUACCCCGCUGUUCUGACGGUACCCAAAGAAUAAGCACCGGCUAACUUCGUG
RNAcentral lists this ribosomal RNA (492 nucleotides) under uncultured bacterium. RNAcentral's name for it is "partial 16S ribosomal RNA". It matches the Rfam family "Bacterial small subunit ribosomal RNA", at positions 36 to 507 of the family's 1533-position model. The record is from RNAcentral.